This 468-nucleotide ribosomal RNA is filed under the name uncultured bacterium. RNAcentral's name for it is "partial 16S ribosomal RNA". It matches the Rfam family "Bacterial small subunit ribosomal RNA", at positions 28 to 507 of the family's 1533-position model. The record is from RNAcentral.
GACGAACGCUGGCGGCGUGCUUAACACAUGCAAGUCGAACGGAAAGGCCCUGCUUUUGUGGGGUGCUCGAGUGGCGAACGGGUGAGUAACACGUGAGUAACCUGCCCUUGACUUUGGGAUAACUUCAGGAAACUGGGGCUAAUACCGGAUAGGAGCUCCUGCUGCAUGGUGGGGGGUGGAAAGUUUCGGCGGUUGGGGAUGGACUCGCGGCUUAUCAGCUUGUUGGUCGGGUAGUGGCUUACCAAGUCGUUGACGGGUAGCCGGCCUGAGAGGGUGACGGGCCACACUGGGACUUAUAUGCGGCCCAGUCUCCAACGGGAGGCAGCAGUGAGGAAUAUUGCACAAUGGGCGGAAGCCUGAUGCAGUAACGCCGCGUGCGGGAUGACGGCCUUCCGGUUGUAAACCGCUUUCGUCUUUGACGAAGCGUGAUUGACGGUAAUGGGUAGAGAAGCACCGGCUAAGUACGUG